CACGUAGGCACCAAGCGUUGUCCGGAUUUAUUGGGCGUAAAGAGCUCGUAGGCGGUUCGGUAAGUCGGGUGUGAAAACUCUGGGCUCAACCCAGAGCCGCCACCCGAUACUGCUGUGACUAGAGUGCGGUAGGGGAGCGGGGAACUCCUGGUGUAGCGGUGAAAUGCGCAGAUAUCAGGAAGAACACCAGUGGCGAAGGCGCCGCUCUGGGCCGGAACUGACGCUGAGGAGCGAAAGCGUGGGGAGCGAACAGG
This 254-nucleotide ribosomal RNA is filed under the name uncultured bacterium. Its description in RNAcentral is "partial 16S ribosomal RNA". It matches the Rfam family "Bacterial small subunit ribosomal RNA", at positions 524 to 776 of the family's 1533-position model. The record is from RNAcentral.